Molecule: ribosomal RNA, 1015 nt
Filed under: uncultured marine euryarchaeote DH148-Y16
Lineage: Archaea; Methanobacteriati; Methanobacteriota; Candidatus Hikarchaeia
Description: bacterial SSU rRNA
Rfam family: Archaeal small subunit ribosomal RNA
Source: RNAcentral
GUCAUUGCUAUCGGGGUCCGAUUUAGCCAUGCUAGUCGAACGGGUUAAGACCCGUGGCGAAUAGCUCAGUAACACGUAGAUAAACUACCCUAUGGACUGUGAUAACCUCGGAAAACUGAGGGUAAUAACAGAUAGUACUCCUACGCUGGAAUGCAGUGAGUACGAAAUGCUCCGGUGCCAUAGGAUGUGACUGCGGCCGAUUAGGUAGACGGUGGGGUAACGGCCCACCGUGCCGAUAAUCGGUACGGGUGGUGAGAGCCAGAGCCCGGAGAUGGAAUCUGAGACAAGAUUCCAGGCCCUAUGGGGCGCAGCAGGCGCGAAAACUUUACAAUGCGCGAAAGCGCGAUAAGGGGACCCCGAGUGCGAGGGCAUAACGUCCUCGCUUUUGUAUAUCGUAAGAAGAUACACGAAUAAGGGCUGGGCAAGACCGGUGCCAGCCGCCGCGGUAAUACCGGCAGCUCGAGUGAUGAUCACUAUUAUUGGGCCUAAAGCGUCCGUAGCCUGUCGAACAAGUCCUUCGGUAAAUCCACUCGCUCAACGAGUGGGCUCUCGAGGGAAACUGUUCGACUUGGGGCCGGGAGAUCUGAGGGGUACGUCUAGGGUAGGAGUGAAAUCCUGUAAUCCUAGACAGACCGCCGGUGGCGAAAGCGCCUCAGAAGAACGGACCCGACGGUCAGGGACGAAAGCUAGGGUCUCGAACCGGAUUAGAUACCCGGGUAGUCCUAGCCGUAAACGAUGCUCGCUAGGUGUUGCGAAAGCUACGUGCUUUUGCUGUGCCGUAGGGAAGCCGUGAAGCGANCCGCCUGGGAAGUACGUCCGCAAGGAUGAAACUUAAAGGAAUUGGCGGGGGAGCACUACAACCGGAGGAGCCUGCGGUUUAAUUGGACUCAACGCCGGACAUCUCACCAGUACCGACAAUUGCAGUGACAGUCAAGUUAAUGACUUUACUCGAGUUCUUGAGAGGAGGUGCAUGGCCGCCGUCAGCUCGUACCGUGAGGCGUCCUGUUAAGUCAGG